This 500-nucleotide ribosomal RNA is filed under the name uncultured Sphingobacteriales bacterium. RNAcentral's name for it is "partial 16S ribosomal RNA". The record is from RNAcentral. Lineage: Bacteria; Pseudomonadati; Bacteroidota; Sphingobacteriia; Sphingobacteriales.
CACGGAGUUAGCCGGUGCUUAUUCUGCAGGUACCGUCAUCACUGUACACGUACAGCUUAUUCUUCCCUGUCAAAAGCAGUUUACGACUCAGAAAGCCUUCUUCCUGCACGCGGCAUGGCUGGGUCAGGCUCUCGCCCAUUGCCCAAUAUUCCCUACUGCUGCCUCCCGUAGGAGUCGGGCCCGUAUCUCAGUGCCCGUGUGGGGGACCAGCCUCUCAGCUCCCCUAGUCAUCGUCGCCUUGGUAAGCCGUUACCUUACCAACUAGCUAAUGACCCGCAACCCCAUCCAUCAUCAAUAAAUCUUUAACUACUAAGCGAUGCCGCUCUAUAGUCUUAUGCGGUAUUAAUCCGCCUUUCGGCGGGCCUAUCCCCCAAUGAUGGGUAGGUUAGUUACGUGUUACGCACCGUGCGCCACUAUGAGUAUUGCUACUCACCGUUCGACUUGCAUGUAUUAGGCCUGCCGCUAGCGUUCACUCCUGAGUCCAGGAUACCAAACUCCUC